GUUCUGAUCACUUCUCCAGAGGGGACCUCUGACCAUCCCUCCGUCAAUGGCUCUGAGACCAGGAAAUCAAGGGCUCCCCUCUGCCUUGGCUCAGCUGGCCCCAGACUCCUGAUCUUUGUGCUGUGUGGACUCCUCCUGGCCAAGGGGCUGAUACUGUGAGUUCUGUUUGUGCUCCUGACCUGCAGGUGCCACCAGACAGCAGCGAUGGAGGUUUCUGAUUGUCCUAGCCCAGCCCUGCGUCAGGACCCUUGGGUGUGUGAGCCACAGCAUGGAUCCAGGAUGAAUCCCAGUUCUUUCCCCGUCUAGCUAUUGGGAGCCACCCUAAGCAUCAGGCCCCACCUUCCCAUGAGGAAAGGCCAGUGCCAAGCCUGUUGGAGAGAAUGUUCAACCCCCAAUCUCCCUGGUGGUGACCUCUCACCCCUGCACUGAGCCCUCUUACAUCUACUUUCGCUGCCCUGACUUCUGCCAUUGGGAAGACCCUGGCGGGGGUUUCUGCAUCCUGGUCAAUGCCCAGCUCAGCAUCUUCAGCUGCGCCCGGCUCCUCCUCUCCAGCAUUCUGUGGUUCUCUCAGCCCCGCCUCAGCAGGUUUGCAGGAUGCCUCACAUUUUCCCUGUUUGUUGCCUGUGUUCUGCCUGAGAGUCCUAUGACUUUCCUUUUGUGCUUAAUUAAAUUCAGCCUCUGAACUGAAACUUGCUCAGGUACAACUGAGCAAGAGGGCAGAUGUAUCCCCUCACCCUCCCCGUCUCCCACCCCAGAUAUCCUAAAUGAGAGAUAAAUGACUUAAAAUAAACGAUAAAAUUGAAACUAAGAAAGCUGUUAUCAGCAGACCAAAAAAUGAGGAAUAUCUAUAAGUAAAAGAAAAAAUCAGAUGCGUUAAAAUGACGUGAGCAGGUGACUCCGCAGCGUAACAUUCAUCCGUAAAUGGAACCUGAUAAUCCAGGGCCGAAAUUUCGUUUGCUUAACAUGUGAGGAGAUUCAUAGCCUAAAAGAGAAAAUUAAGUUGAACUAACAAUAAUUGAUGGUGGAUGAAAGAUAAAUGUUUCGGGGAACAGAAGAGGAGCACAUAUUUAUGAAACAAGAAGAGGCACAGUCAUUUUCCAACUAACAUCUAGCAAGGCUAGGAUUGACCACUUAGAAUGGGGGUCCACCAAGGACAACCAAUUUGGGGUACCAGUGCAUAGCAGCUGAAUGCCAGCCCUGAAAAAGACCACCUUAAAGACAGCACCAUUUUCUUUUCCUCUUUUGGGGUUGGGCCCUCCAACAGAAGACUCCUCAUGUAUAUCUCAGCUCCUGCCUCGUGACCAUCACCUAUCUGUGAGAGGCAUCACUUUUGCUUUGUUUCUUUAUUUUGUUAAUCUUCAUGUCCUAUUUCCACUUCCCUUCCUCUCUGAGGCAACCACUCUAAUGCAUUUGAUAUGUAACCUUAAAUUUGAAUGUAUUCUUGUAAAGCAUGCAGUAUUCUUUUUUCCUGUGACUAUGUGUUAACUUACUUAGAAGAAAUUGUGAUAGGCCUUUUUCAUAUGCUUGUCUUACUCCGUGCUGGGAGCAUAUACAGAGCCCACUUUUUUUUCAGUGCUUAUUCCAUUGUGUACAUAUCCCACAGUGCCUCAUUCCGAUCUCAGGGUGCAUGUGCUGUUUUACCUUCACUUCUUCAUAUCAUAAAUAAUGCUGCGAUGAAUACGCUCCAUCAUGUUCUCUUGUGGACUCCUGUGAGACUUCCUUUAGGAUUUAUACGCAGGUGGCAUCAGCUGGGUUGUAGGAUCUCAGACAUCUAAUUAAUACUGCCAGCUUGUGCCGCCUGAAACAUGAAUCUAGAUACUAGAGAUUAUAUGUUUUCUGUGAGUCUAUGUGAAGUACACAGCACCACGUAUAAAAUGGUAUUGCCAAUAAAA
Molecule: long non-coding RNA, 1892 nt
Organism: Cebus imitator (Panamanian white-faced capuchin)
Lineage: Eukaryota; Metazoa; Chordata; Mammalia; Primates; Cebidae
Exons: 3
Source: RefSeq, a predicted model, not a curated record